ACGAAAGAGGCGAGGGAGUGGAGGAGGCAGGAGGCGACGGAUCCGAGGCAGCGGCGGAGAUAAGGGGAUUUUCUUGAAUUGCAUUUGGUUACUAUGGAUGCGUUUUUACUGAAAUAUAGGGAUGGGGGAUCCUCAUGUGUUCUGUGCUUCAUAGUCCCUUUUUAUGUUGGGUCUUUUCGGGCUCUUAAGCGGAUUUCACUUCAAUUUCGUAUAUCUUUUGUAUCAAGACGUCAUGAGGACAACUCUAUAUCCUGGGAUACAGAUAUCUAGCGACUAUAAAAAGUGCGAUAGCCUAUUAAUUUAUAAUAAAAUAUACAAGACAAACUACUU
Molecule: small RNA, 330 nt
Filed under: Histoplasma capsulatum var. duboisii H88
Lineage: Eukaryota; Fungi; Ascomycota; Eurotiomycetes; Onygenales; Ajellomycetaceae
Description: Histoplasma capsulatum H88 hypothetical RNA
Source: RNAcentral